This 73-nucleotide transfer RNA is filed under the name Pagodroma nivea (lesser snow-petrel). Its description in RNAcentral is "tRNA-Glu". Lineage: Eukaryota; Metazoa; Chordata; Aves; Procellariiformes; Procellariidae. The record is from RNAcentral.
GUUCCUGUAGUUAAAGUUCUAUUAACGGUGGUUUUUCAGGCCAUAGAUCUUGGAGAAAAGCCAAGCAGGAAUU